Long non-coding RNA from Tachysurus vachellii, 422 nucleotides. RefSeq lists it as uncharacterized. The transcript is spliced from 3 exons. The record is from RefSeq and is a predicted model, not a curated record. NCBI's taxonomy places the organism in Eukaryota, Metazoa, Chordata, Actinopteri, Siluriformes, Bagridae.
UGAUACAACACUUCCUCCAUAACCUCGCCAACUUUUUAGCGCAACGGCGUGCUGCGUGUGAUGUCAUUGUUAUUGUUCGUUUGCGCAUGCGGGUCAGUUCGAAACAGCAAACAGUUCACACUGGUAUCUGAUAUAGGCCACAUUUUAAAAGGUUGGGGACCACUGGUGUACUGUAGAUGACAGUAUGAAGCGGAGCUAUCCAUCUGGCCAUGAAAAGAAAAAAGGAAACAAAAUGAGAGUGAAAUACGAGAAAAUCAAUCAGAACACUUUGACCUUGGCUGAAUUUUCAGUGUUGUACUGCUCCUCCAGCUGAUUGAGUGACAUCUCCACUUCACUGAUCUUCUCCUCUGUUCCUCCUUCAGCCCGCCGCACAAGCUGGUCCACAUGUUUCAGUCGCCUCUCCAACUGUUACACACACAAAA